CUCCCAUCUCCAAGAUGGCGGAGACAGCUUCAACCUCACCUCUCGCGAGGAGUACGUCCUACUGUUUCUGAUUAGCCCUGAGGUCAGAGAUGCUGAGAACGGUGGUCGCUGGAACCACUGUUCUGGUGGACAGUUAAGACAACUGUUUCCUCCGACCAGCUUCGCUCCCCACAGAGCUGCCCAAGUUAACAUCUGCUCGUGGGGUUGGACCAUCUGUUUUUGUGAAAGUUACAAUAUUAUUGUUUAUAAAAAUCCAAA
Molecule: non-coding RNA, 258 nt
Organism: Odocoileus virginianus texanus
Lineage: Eukaryota; Metazoa; Chordata; Mammalia; Artiodactyla; Cervidae
Source: RefSeq, a predicted model, not a curated record